Molecule: ribosomal RNA, 337 nt
Filed under: uncultured bacterium
Lineage: Bacteria
Description: bacterial SSU rRNA
Rfam family: Bacterial small subunit ribosomal RNA
Source: RNAcentral
GAGUUUGAUCGAUGGCUCAGAACGAACGCUGGCGGCAUGGAUUAGGCAUGCAAGUUGAACGAACCACUUCGGUGGAGAGUAGCGGAAGGGUGAGGAACGCGUGAGUAAUCUGCCCCCUAGUUGGGAAUAACAGUUGGAAAACGACUGCUAAUACCGAAUGUGGCUUCGAUCCUGCAUGGGAUGGAGGCUAAAGAUUUAUCGCUAGGGGAUGAGCUCGCGUCCCAUUAGGUAGUUGGUGAGGUAACGGCCCACCAAGCCGACGAUGGGUAGCUGGUCUGAGAGGAUGGUCAGCCACACUGGGACUGAGACACUGCCCAGACUCCUACGGGAGGCAGCA